RNAcentral lists this ribosomal RNA (254 nucleotides) under uncultured bacterium. Its description in RNAcentral is "partial 16S ribosomal RNA". It matches the Rfam family "Bacterial small subunit ribosomal RNA", at positions 524 to 776 of the family's 1533-position model. The record is from RNAcentral.
UACGUAGGGUGCGAGCGUUGUCCGGAAUUAUUGGGCGUAAAGAGCUCGUAGGCGGUGUGUCACGUCGGCCGUGAAAACCUGCAGCUUAACUGUGGGCGUGCGGUCGAUACGGGCAUCACUGGAGUUCGGCAGGGGAGACUGGAAUUCCUGGUGUAGCGGUGAAAUGCGCAGAUAUCAGGAGGAACACCGGUGGCGAAGGCGACUGCCUGGCCUGUUCUUGACGCUGAGGCGCGAAAGCUAGGGGAGCAAACGGG